GGCUUUUGGGAUUCGUGCUGAGAUUUCGCCACACAACAGACCGUUAGCACUGGUGAGACUCCCAAGGUAAGUGGAGCG
RNAcentral lists this microRNA precursor (78 nucleotides) under Schistosoma mansoni. RNAcentral's name for it is "mir-3492 microRNA precursor family". It matches the Rfam family "mir-3492 microRNA precursor family". Lineage: Eukaryota; Metazoa; Platyhelminthes; Trematoda; Strigeidida; Schistosomatidae. The record is from Rfam by way of RNAcentral.